GGCACAGCGGACAACCUAUGCAACAAAAGCUUGCUGCAGAGCCGAGCGACUGUCCAACCACUCAGCGGACACACACACACGGAGACAGCGAUUGACACGACCCGGCGAGGUACGACUGCAGGGCCAGCGUUAGAUUGCAGCCUGGACCAACAUCGACGUCUCAACGACAUUUAUGAAGCUUUCAAGGCCUUUUGAUUGAUCAGCCAAUCGAUGGGGAUUUUACGAGGAGCUCCGCCCACCUUCGCUGCCUGCCCUCCUUCUCCCCCCUCCAUCUGCGGCCCCUCCCUUGCCCCAGCCCACUCCGUCAUCCAGCCCUCCAUCCAGCCCUCUAUACACAAAAUGACUCUGGAAUUUACUGAAUGGUCUUCUAUAUGGAUUUUUACUGCUUGUAAUAGACAGUAAACAAAGAAAAGAGGGAGAAACCUCAAUGACAAAUAAGCCAUAAACACACACACACCACACAUACACACUCACAUACACACAAACACAUGCACACCCCAUUCACACACUAACAGGCAUGUAAGGCACUGACAUACCAAAUAGAGUUGUUUUUUUCAGGCAGGAUCUCGCACACCUGACACACACACACGAAGAAGCAAACGCACAAACUUACUCUUGGAAUGUAUCGCACACUCUUCCUGUGAAAAUUCGACCGCUUCCUUUUUAUUUCUGGGGUUUUCUACAAGUCUUUGGAAAGCUGAUUUUAAUAUUUUUUUCGACUCUGGGGGGGAAAACAAGGAGGCGAGAGAAAGGAUUAAAACGUGUUGAAUUUCAAGCUGCCGUGUUUUUGAAGGACAAGUUCUCUUUAGGGCGACUU
Molecule: long non-coding RNA, 817 nt
Organism: Scomber japonicus (chub mackerel)
Lineage: Eukaryota; Metazoa; Chordata; Actinopteri; Scombriformes; Scombridae
Exons: 3
Source: RefSeq, a predicted model, not a curated record